AACGAACGCUGGCGGCAAGCCUAACACAUGCAAGUCGAACGGACAAUUAUCUAUAGCUUCGGCUAUAAAUAAUUGUUAGUGGCAGACGGGUGAGUAAUGCAUAGGAAUCUACCUAGUAGUAUGGAAUAGCCAUUAGAAAUGAUGGGUAAUACUGUAUAAUCCCUGCGGGGGAAAGAUUUAUCGCUAUUAGAUGAGCCUAUGUUAGAUUAGCUAGUUGGUGAGGUAAUGGCUUACCAAGGCUAUGAUCUAUAGCUGGUCUGAGAGGACGAUCAGCCACACUGGAACUGAGAUACGGUCCAGACUCCUACGGGAGGCAGCAGUGGGGAAUAUUGGACAAUGGGCGAAAGCCUGAUCCAGCUAUGCCGCGUGAGUGAAGAA
Molecule: ribosomal RNA, 378 nt
Filed under: Ehrlichia sp.
Lineage: Bacteria; Pseudomonadati; Pseudomonadota; Alphaproteobacteria; Rickettsiales; Anaplasmataceae
Description: bacterial SSU rRNA
Rfam family: Bacterial small subunit ribosomal RNA
Source: RNAcentral